Molecule: ribosomal RNA, 1443 nt
Filed under: Triticum aestivum (bread wheat)
Lineage: Eukaryota; Viridiplantae; Streptophyta; Magnoliopsida; Poales; Poaceae
Description: partial small subunit ribosomal RNA
Source: RNAcentral
AUGGCCACGACCAGCACCAAGCACGUCCUUCUGUUCCCCUUCCCCGGCCAGGGCCACCUCGCCGCCUUGCUAGAAGUCGCGCGGCUCCUCCGCCGAGCCCUCCCCGCCGACGUCAAGAUUACCAUCGUCUCAACCCCGCGCAACGUUGCCGCCCUACGCGCUUCCUCCUCCGCGUCGCCCUCGUCCUCGGUCAUCAGCUUCCACGCGCUGCCGUUCGUCCCGGCCGACCACGGCCUCCCAGCCGACUGCGAGUCCACUAUCUCCCUCCCGCUCCCGGCGUUCCUCCUCCUCUUCGAGGCCUUCGAGUCGCUCGAGCCCGCCUUCGACGCCUACGUGUCCGGCCUCGUCGAGGACAAGGACGACUGCGUCGUCAUCGCCGACGUGUUCGUCGCGUGGACGGUGCGCGUCGCGCGCCGGCGCGGGUGCGGGCACGCUAUCCUCGUGUCCUGCGGCGCGCUCGGCACGGCCAUCCUGCACGCCCUGUGGAAGAACAUGCCGGCUCUGCCUUUCCACGACGACGGUCAGCUGCUCCGCCUGCUCGAGCACCCGGAGGUGGAGCUCCACCGAUCCCAGCUGUCACAGGUGUUUCUCUCCGGCCCGUCUCCCGGCAUGGACCGGGUGACUGCGUACAUGCACCGGCAGAUACGGCAUGGGUACCUGACGGACGCGGUGCUGGUGAACACGGUAGAGGAGCUGGAGCCAACCGGACUGGCCAUGGUGCACCGCACUAUCGGCAGCAAGGUCCCGGUCUGGCCCAUCGGCGCUCUCGUCCGCGAUGGUUCCGGUUCGGAUACGGCCCCGUCCGAGACCGACGCCGCCGUCAUGCGCUGGCUGGACUCGCAGCAGAGGGCAUCCGUUCUGUACAUCUCGUUCGGGCCGCAGAACUCGAUACUUCCGAAGCAGAUGAUGGAGCUGGCCACGGCACUGGAGUCCACCGGCCGGCCUUUCGUCUGGGCCUUCCGGCUGCCGGCGGCGCUCGACGUCGACGGCGCCGAAGAGUGUCUGCCGGAGGGGUUCGAGGCGCGGGCGAGCGCUGCUAGCCGGGGCCUCCUGCUCCAUGGAUGGGCGCCGCAGGUGAGGAUCCUCGCGCACGUCUCCACGGGGGCGUUCCUGAGCCACUGCGGGUGGAACUCUGUGCUGGAGAGCCUGACGCACGGCGUGCCCAUCGUCGGGUGGCCGCUCUCGGCGGAGCAGUUCUACAACGUCAAGAUGCUGGCGGAGGACUGGGGCGCGUGCGUGGAGCUGGCGCGGGGGAACGACCCGGAGAGCCCGGUCGCGGAGAGCCGCGAGGUGGCGGAGGUGAUCGAGACGGUGAUGGGGGACACGGCGAUGCGGCGGCGGGUGGUGGAGGUCCGGGAGCUGAUGAAGAGGGCGUGGGCGGAGGAUGGCAGAUCGUCCAGGACGGCACUCGGAGAGUUCUUCACAGCCAUGCAGCUGCACUGA